GAUGAACGCUGGCGGCGUGCCUAAUACAUGCAAGUCGAGCGAACAGACGAGGAGCUUGCUCCUUUGACGUUAGCGGCGGACGGGUGAGUAACACGUAGGUAACCUACCUAUAAGACUGGGAUAACUUCGGGAAACCGGAGCUAAUACCGGAUAAUAUUUCGAACCGCAUGGUUCGAUAGUGAAAGAUGGCUUUGCUAUCACUUAUAGAUGGACCUGCGCCGUAUUAGCUAGUUGGUAAGGUAACGGCUUACCAAGGCAACGAUACGUAGCCGACCUGAGAGGGUGAUCGGCCACACUGGAACUGAGACACGGUCCAGACUCCGACGGGAGGCAGCAGUAGGGAAUCUACCGCAAUGGGCGAAAGCCUGACGGAGCAACGCCGCGUGAGUGAUGAAGGUCUUCGGAUCGUAAAACUCUGUUAUUAGGGAAGAACAAACGUGUAAGUAACUGUGCACGUCCUGACGGUACCUAAGCAGAAAGCCACGGCUAACUACGU
Molecule: ribosomal RNA, 496 nt
Filed under: uncultured bacterium
Lineage: Bacteria
Description: partial 16S ribosomal RNA
Rfam family: Bacterial small subunit ribosomal RNA
Source: RNAcentral